RNAcentral lists this ribosomal RNA (586 nucleotides) under uncultured bacterium. RNAcentral's name for it is "bacterial SSU rRNA". It matches the Rfam family "Bacterial small subunit ribosomal RNA", at positions 338 to 916 of the family's 1533-position model. The record is from RNAcentral.
CCUACGGGAGGCAGCAGUAGGGAAUCUUCCGCAAUGGACGAAAGUCUGACGGAGCAACGCCGCGUGAGUGAAGAAGGUUUUCGGAUCGUAAAACUCUGUUGUCAGGGAAGAACAAGUACGGGAGUAACUGCCCGUACCUUGACGGUACCUGGCCAGAAAGCCACGGCUAACUACGUGCCAGCAGCCGCGGUAAUACGUAGGUGGCAAGCGUUGUCCGGAAUUAUUGGGCGUAAAGCGCGCGCAGGCGGCCUUUUAAGUCUGAUGUGAAAGCCCCCGGCUCAACCGGGGAGGGUCAUUGGAAACUGGAAGGCUUGAGUGCAGAAGAGAAGAGCGGAAUUCCACGUGUAGCGGUGAAAUGCGUAGAGAUGUGGAGGAACACCAGUGGCGAAGGCGGCUCUUUGGUCUGUAACUGACGCUGAGGCGCGAAAGCGUGGGGAGCAAACAGGAUUAGAUACCCUGGUAGUCCACGCCGUAAACGAUGAGUGCUAAGUGUUGGGGGUUUCCGCCCCUCAGUGCUGCAGCUAACGCAUUAAGCACUCCGCCUGGGGAGUACGGCCGCAAGGCUGAAACUUAAANGAAUUGACGG